UCUACGGGAGGCAGCAGUGGGGAAUAUUGGGCAAUGGGCGCAAGCCUGACCCAGCAACGCCGCGUGAAGGAAGAAGGCUUUCGGGUUGUAAACUUCUUUUCUGAGGGACGAAGAAAGUGACGGUACCUCAGGAAUAAGCCACGGCUAACUACGGGCCAGCAGCCGCGGUAAUACGUAGGUGACAAGCGUUAUCCGGAUUUAUUGGGUGUAAAGGGCAUGGAGGCGGGAAUGCAAGUCAGAGGUGAAAACUCAGGGCUCAACCCUGAGCCUGCAUUUGAAACUGUUUUUCUUGAGUGCUGGAGAGGCAGUCGGAAUUCGGGGUGUAGCGGUGAAAUGCGUAGAUAUACGGAGGAACACCAGUGGCGAAGGCGGAUUGCUGGACAGUAACUGACGCUGAGGCGCGAAAGCGUGGGGAGCAAACAGGAUUAGAUACCCUAGUAGUC
Molecule: ribosomal RNA, 443 nt
Filed under: uncultured bacterium
Lineage: Bacteria
Description: partial 16S ribosomal RNA
Rfam family: Bacterial small subunit ribosomal RNA
Source: RNAcentral